Dermatophagoides farinae (American house dust mite) is the source of this 677-nucleotide non-coding RNA. NCBI's taxonomy places the organism in Eukaryota, Metazoa, Arthropoda, Arachnida, Sarcoptiformes, Pyroglyphidae. The record is from RefSeq and is a predicted model, not a curated record.
CAACAACAAACAUAUUCUCUGAUCAAAUAAUCAUCGGUUCACAACAACAACAUUGUCAAUGUUUUUUUUUUCCUCAAUAUGUCAUUGGCCGUUGUUAUCGUUAAAUUUCGGAAAAAACAAAAAAAAUCAAUCGGGAAAAAUAAUCGAGCAACCAACAACGAAAAAUGGGAAAAAAACAGAACAUUUUUUUUCUGAAAAUCAAUCUAAUUAAAAAAAAAAAAAAAUAACAACAAAGGGGUCACACAAUGAUGUUGUGUUGUUAUAUGAUGCGAAACGAAACUGAUAAACAAUUCAAUAAAAAAAAAAAAUAAUGAAUAAUUGGUAAACAAAAAAAAAAUAUUCAUUACAUAUAUAUUCGAUCGAUUAUUAUUGAUACCGUGAGAAUUAUUAUCGGAUCAAUCAAUCAAUCAAACAAAACAAUCUGUGUCAGGCUUAUUAUCGUCGUUCAAAUGUACAUGGAAUGACUGUGGCAAACAACAAUGCUUAUCGGAAACUUGGUAAUCGAACCAGAUGAAAAGAAAAAUUGUUAUCGAAAAAAAUAAACAAAAAAAAAAUUAUGCAAUAUUGUCAACGAAGGAUUAUACGAGAUCCAUUUGUGUGCAUUUUAUUUUUUAAUUAUGAUGAAAUUUUUCUUCUUUUUUUCCAUUCAAUGGCCAUAUAUAAAUACAUCGAAUUGA